GAAGAGAUUUGGGAGUGCUCGCAAGAGAACCGGAACGACAGGUGCUGGCAUGGCUGUCGUCAGCUCGUGUCGUGAGAUGUUGGGUUAAGUCCCGCAACGAGCGCAACCCUUGUCAUUAGUUGCCAUCAUUGUUGGGCACUCUAAUGAGACUGCCGGUGACAAACCGGAGGAAGGUGGGGAUGACGUCAAGUCCUCAUGGCCCUUAUGGGUAGGGCUUCACACGUCAUACAAUGGUCGGUACAGAGGGUUGCCAACCCGCGAGGGGGAGCUAAUCCCACAAAGCCGAUCGUAGUCCGGAUCGCAGUCUGCAACUCGACUGCGUGAAGUCGGAAUCGCUAGUAAUCGUGGAUCAGCAUGUCACGGUGAAUACGUUCCCGGGUCUU
Molecule: ribosomal RNA, 383 nt
Filed under: uncultured Rhodocyclaceae bacterium
Lineage: Bacteria; Pseudomonadati; Pseudomonadota; Betaproteobacteria; Rhodocyclales; Rhodocyclaceae
Description: bacterial SSU rRNA
Rfam family: Bacterial small subunit ribosomal RNA
Source: RNAcentral